AAAGUGGCUCACUUCUUUUUGUCCAAAUUCCUCUUCGUUAGACGUGAUCUUUUAGUUCUCAUACAGAAGGCUUUGCCUACUGCAGCUGUGUUUGUGGUUAACAUGCCUAUUUUGCUGUUUCCCAUUAUUGUAGUGGCAAUAUUCCCUUCCACUGCAGGAGAUGGGGAGAAGGGAGAUAGAUUGGUUCCAGGUCUAAGAGAAACAUUUUUACUCAACCAACCAUUUUGAGCAUCUUCUAAACCCAUCGUUAGCCACCUAGAGACAUGAUUAACGUGAGGAGUUCGGGCCAGAAGAACUGUCUGUGUUCUUUAGGCAAACCUCACAUCAGAAAAGAUGACCCACAUGCAAUGUAUUUCAAGUACUGUGUCUGUAUAUAUAAUGAUACAAGGGAAAAUGAUACCUUUUCCCAUUUAAAUGAACAGUUUAGCUGUGCCUACAAAUAGUCUGUAGAUAGAAAUAGGGUGUAUUUUUGUCCCUAUAUAUACAUAUAUAUAUAUAUGAAAUAUAUAUAUGUAUAUAUAUACAGUUCAUGUAUAUAAAUAUAUCUAUACAGAUGAAGUGUAAUUCCUUAAUGAAGCUCAUAGCUCACUUGGCAGCCUCCGUGGCUAAGGUCAAUGGCAGUGUGUAGUCCACCCAUGGCUGGAGGCCAUGAAUCCACAAAUGAUUUAAACUGGGAUCUCAGCCUUUUCACUAGAAUGGAAUUAAAAUAUCUAAUUAUAACAUUAUUUUAGAACUAGUAGUGGAAUCUAUUUUUGUUAGUUUUCCUUGCAAUAUGCAGUUGAGGCAAUUAAAACUUGCUUGUAAUUCCUGUAGGUUUUGCAGUGCAGUUAACGUUUUGUGGUGUGUUUCUAUGCUACGAAAUCACAGUUCUCUCUGAAUCCAUAUCUUGAUUGGUUAUUAUGAUCUUCAUCAUUCCCUAACUCAUAUAAUUCCCUGUGGUUUAUAUCGCUGUCAACAUUAGAAGAUAGAAACCAGGGAGCAUUGUGUUGUGCUGUCCACAGAGACUGGAAUAAGUGCAACACUUGGAAGUGCAACAUGUCAGUACUCCUAAGAAUGUGGUUGGAGUAAGUUUAUUUAGACUAGAUUUAUCUUCAGUUCCAAUGUCCUCUAGAGCACGUGCUGCUCCUUAGCCAGCCUGCCUGUUAAGUAAUGUAGCUCACUGCAGCCAAGUCUGGAAGUUUCAAAAUAUCAGUUGGAUUCUUUCAGUCUGCUUAGAAGAGAAAAGGCUAAAUAAAGCCAAGGGAUGAGAUGUAAGAGGUGAGGCAGUUAGCAUGGCCUGCUGUUACAGCUACCUGCUGAUUAUCAUUACAUGCCCCUGAUUUGGGUUGCUGUAAUAUGUUCCAACUGCAUUUUCCAUUUUCUAGGGCAGAUGUCCCCCUCACAACUGAUUAAAAUACAUAUAUGUUUGGAACCAUUUCAGCAGAGUUAGCUCAGCCAUUUCCAAGAAGGAUGCAAUGGGGGCAGAAGCAGGGCCUUCACUGCCCCACAGUUUGUUCUCCCUUCUAGCUGAGAUGCCGGUGUGCUACAGAAGGCCUUGAAGACAAGGCAGCUCCGAGGGCAGCCCAGGCGCUGCCAUGGAUGCUGUAGCUCUGUCCCUCUGAGGGUAGUAUGGGGAGAGGUGAGCCCAUGAGGAACAGCGUCGUGCUUUACUCAAAGCAGAGGAUGAAUGAGAUGUGGUCGUGCCACAGACUGCACUGAACCUGGAGGAUAUAAUGUUGAAUAUCUGUUUAUUCCUUAUCUACUGGCUAAUCGGUGCACCGCAGAAGGGUCUGACAGGGAAACGCUCGUAUUCCUUUACUAUAGGGUUCUGGGUGUUUGUGAAUUUGUAUGUGAACGUCUGGGUGAAAAAGUGGAGGAAAUGAAUAAUGCAGAGGUUCAAAUCUGGAGAUUAUGCAUAAAGUGAGAACAGAGUUUGACCUUUAACUGCUCGCAGAAUAAAUGCACAGCUUUCUCUGUCUGGGAAAAGUAAUAGAGGGCAUCAUUUUCAAAAAACCGAAAUAGGUAUUUUAGGAGUAAGACUGUAUAUCUUGAUGUCAUAAAACUCAGAAUGUACAAAUUGAUACUCUGUGGGGAUCAAAGAAAGAAAAAAUUAACUCCCGUUAAAUAAUUUUUAGAAGUCUUUCUUCAGUUAAUCUGGUAGCCCUGUAAUGAGUUCAUGCACCUGAACACAGCUUUGUUGUAGCUGGGUGGGGGAAGAAGGCGUCUGUCAGCUCUGUAAAAUUGGAAUUAUUUGAAAUGGGGUCAGCCAGCCAAUCUGUGGGGCAACCAGUCAUAAAAGUCUGCCAGAGACGUAGUCUAAUGUCUCUUCUCGUAAAUUUUAUUCAUUGUCUGUAAUGAUUUUACCAUAUAUAUAUAUAUACAUACACAUCUAGGCUAACCUUUACUGGUCAGGACUGAUUUAUUGCUGUAGGUAUCUAUAUCAAAGGUCUGGAUGGCAAAACACGUGCUAAUGACAAGCCGUGUCUACACUGUAAGCCAAGUGGAAUUUUUGAAGAACGUAAAGGUUACUUUUAGAAAGGACUGUCCCCUGGCCGCCAUCCAGGCUUUCCAGUCACUGAAGUUUUUAGACAAGUUCUUGGCUUUAAAUACAUGGCGAAAACCCCUUGAAGCAUGUACCGAAGGCAGAGCCUUAUUCUUUGACUGAGGUUGGGGGGUGGGGGAUACCCCAGACCCGCACAGCUCACAGCCAUGCCUGGUUGAGCUCGGGGAGCUCAACUGCUAGAAAUCCCCCAAAUCACGCAGCCAACCUGGGCUGGGGGUGGGUAGGGGGCUGUAGGGCACAUCCUGCACUGUGGUUGUGAGUGCUAAUGAGAUGGCGGUGGUCCUAUGCCCUCUGCCUUCAGGAGAUGGUGGUUUUCAUUCAGUUUGCUCAGCGCUGCCCUUUGCCAGGUGGGCGGGAGUGUGGUCAGUGCUCAGGGUGAUGGGAUACUGCCCUAGAGCCAGUAAAUAGCUGCGUGUGUUUCUUAAACAUCUCUGCUUUCAUGAAGCGUGGGCUUUCCUGGGGAGGGUGGAGUGGCUGAUCUGAUAGUCAUCUGCUCAAGUGGUUGAAAGGAAAUUCUAAUUACUCAGCCUUUGCUGUGGGCUCCGCAUGCUCCAGUUUACCCAGAACUCAUUGCUCAGGGAUAAAACCCAACCUUGACAAAGUCAGUAAGUUCUGCCCAAGCUGCCUGAAUUUCCCCCCAAAGCACAGCUCUGUGCCCUAAUG
Molecule: long non-coding RNA, 3205 nt
Filed under: Gallus gallus (chicken)
Lineage: Eukaryota; Metazoa; Chordata; Aves; Galliformes; Phasianidae
Source: RNAcentral